AUAGAAUACAGCCCAGUUGGUGCUCGCGAAGACGGUUCACGGUUCGCAGUUCAACGGGAAGCAGGAGGGAAAAGCCACCACGGCCGACCUAACCUGCGCUGCCCCCGCAACGGUAAGCAGACGGGUCUUCAUUUGCGUGAAGACCUCGCUUUCAUCUGAUGCCACUGGUCGCCCUGAAACAGGCGACCGGGAAGGUGAUGAAGGUCGCAUCUGCCAGCCCGGAUACCGGCCAACAAGGUGACCUGUCG
This 248-nucleotide non-coding RNA is filed under the name Limnohabitans planktonicus. The record is from RNAcentral. Lineage: Bacteria; Pseudomonadati; Pseudomonadota; Betaproteobacteria; Burkholderiales; Comamonadaceae.